This 485-nucleotide ribosomal RNA is filed under the name uncultured bacterium. Its description in RNAcentral is "bacterial SSU rRNA". It matches the Rfam family "Bacterial small subunit ribosomal RNA", at positions 1 to 507 of the family's 1533-position model. The record is from RNAcentral.
AGAGUAGUUGUAUCAUGCUACGAGGACAACGCUGGCGGCGCGCUUAAUACAUGCAAGUCGAACGAGAAGCCAGAGCUUGCUCUGGUGGAAAGUGGCGAACGGGUGAGUAACACGUGAGAAACCUGCCCCAAAGAUUGGGAUAAGCCUUGGAAACGAGGUCUAAUACCAAAUACCUUCCUUUAACACAUGUUAAAAAGAAGAAAUGCUCCGGCGCUUUGGGAUGGUCUCGCGAUCUAUCAGCUUGUUGGUGAGGUAACGGCUCACCAAGGCAUCGACGGAUAGCUGGUCUGAGAGGAUGUCCAGCCACAUUGGAACUGAGACACGGUCCAAACUCCUACGGGAGGCAGCAGUAGGGAAUCUUGCACAAUGAGGGAAACCUUGAUGCAGCGACGCCGCGUGCGGGACGAAGGCCCUAGGGUUGUAAACCGCUUUCAGUAGGGACGAAAGUGACGGUACCUACAGAAGAAGCCCCGGCCAACUAUGUG